CUACGGGAGGCAGCAGUCGAGAAUCAUUCGCAAUGGGCGAAAGCCUGACGAUGCGACGCCGUGUGAGCGAUGAAGGCCUUCGGGUUGUAAAGCUCUUUCGCCUGGGAACAAGAGAAGCUGGCUAACAUCCAGCAGAUUUGAGGGUACCAGGUAAAGAAGCACCGGCUAACUCCGUGCCAGCAGCUGCGGUAAUACGGAGGGUGCAAGCAUUAAUCGGAUUUAUUGGGCGUAAAGGGCGCGUAGGCGGAAUGAAAAGUCAGAUGUGAAAUCCCGGGGCUCAACCUCGGAACAGCAUUUGAAACUCUUAUUCUAGAGGGUAGGCGGAGAAAACGGAAUUCCACAAGUAGCGGUGAAAUGCGUAGAUAUGUGGAAGAACACCGGUGGCGAAGGCGGUUUUCUAGCUUAUUCCUGACGCUGAGGCGCGAAAGCAAGGGGAUCAAACAGGAUUAGAUACCCCAGUAGUCC
Molecule: ribosomal RNA, 465 nt
Filed under: uncultured bacterium
Lineage: Bacteria
Description: bacterial SSU rRNA
Rfam family: Bacterial small subunit ribosomal RNA
Source: RNAcentral